UCCUUACAUAUAUAGAUAUUUAUAUAUAUUUAUGUAUAUUUUGAGACAGAGUCUUGCUCUGUUGCCGGGCUGGAGGUCAGUGGCGCAAUUUUAGCUCACUGCAACCUCUGCCUCCCAGGUUCAAGGGAUUCCCCUACAUCAGCCUCCCAAGUAGCUGGGACUAUAGGCAUGUGCCAACAUGCCCAGCUUGUUUUUUGUGUUUUUUUAGUGGAGACGGGGUUUCACCGUUUUGGCAAGGAUGGUCUUGAUCUCCUGACCUUAUGAUCCACCUGACUUGGCUUCCCAAAGUGCUUGGAUUACAGGCAUGAGCCGCCGCGCCCAGCCACAAUCUAUAUUUUAUCAAGCUCUUCAGGUGAUGUUGAUAUAUGCUAAACUUUGCAAAUUACUGAUUUAGAGACUAAUCAACUUAUUAAAAAGUUAAAAAAAAUAGGUGAGGAUCCAUUGUAGCACCCCAAUGAGUCCAUUAGACUUACCUAUGCUAUUAUCUUCUAAAUUCACAUUAUACAAAUUGUAUGCCACAAAAAUGUUUAAGGUGAAAACCCAAAGAAUUUGAUGCAUUUGAUUAAUUUACAAAAAUAAAACAGCUCCAAUUCACAGAAAAAAAUGCACACAUAUCUGAUAAGUAGUAGUAGAUAAAAAAGAUGAAUAACUUCUCAUGACUAAUACCAAUCAAAAUGUAAUUUUUAAAAUUAUGGUAAGUUGGUCAUUUUUUAAAAAUCUGUUACGCCUUGUCACGACAAGGAUAGGUGAAAAGGAACUUCCGUCAGCUAUUGGUUAGUAUAUGGGUGAAACCUUUUAGAUGAUUUGGCUCUACUUAAUAAAAUGUUCAGUCCUUUCUGAUUUUAGCACCGUAUUUCUACAGAUACACUGGCACAUCUGCGGGGAGGGGCACUUCUACUUGUUGCCUGAUAUCCCUUAAUAGUGUUAACAUUUUUUUCUUAAGCAUUACUACCUUUAAAAUCAUGUUAAAGAAAGGCUAAAUGGGGCCGGGCGCGGUGGCUCAAGCCUGUAAUCCCAGCACUUUGGGAGGCCGAGGUGGGUGGAUCACGAGGUCAAGAGAUAGAGACCAUCCUGGUCACCAUGGUGAAACCCUGUCUCUACUAAAAAUACAAAAAAUUAGCUGGGCAUGGUGGCUCGUGCCUGUAAUCCCAGCUACUCGGGAGGCUGAGGCAGGAGAAUUGCCUGAACCCAGGAGGGGGAGGUUGUGGUGAGCCGAGAUCGUGCCAUUGCACUUCAGCCUGGGUAACAAGAGCAAAACUCCGUCUCAAAAAAAAAAAAAGAAAGGAUAAAUGAUGUGUAACAGACUCAGUUUCCCCUUCUCUGGCUUUCCUUUAGUUUACAUCUCUCUCUCUCUCUCCCUCACUUGAGGAGCUCAACACCCUUAAGAUUAUAGAGAAAUUGCAGGAGGUAAUAUUGGCUAGAAAUGCUGAAUUUUAGAAACUUAGGUAGAAAUGGUUUAAGCCAUCAGCCUAAAUGAUCAAUGAAAAUGUCAGACAUUCUCUGUUUUCUUCUUCCAAGAUAUUAUUCUCUACUGUGGCCUUAGCUCUCGAUUUCUAUAUAAUUCUGAUUUAAAAAGGAAGGACAUGCUUCUAAUAUACCUUGCUGUUGUGUCUUCCUGUUCAUUAAGAUAGCUGAUGUCAGUCAAAAUAAAUUCUAGAAAUUCUUGCGUACUUUUUUUUAGUAUACUGAGAAUGCUUGACGCAGACUAACCAAACUUAAGUGUUUUAAGGAUAUUAACAAUAACAGGAAAGCCCCUCGAUUUUCUGCUAAGAAUCAACCCGAGCAGUUUCUAAACUGCUGGUUGGCAAUGUCAGUAUCAUGAGAAAGACUGAAAAAAUAGGAAACUGUUUUGAGAAAAAGAGGAAUAGGUGCAGGCUCAGGGAAUGAACUUUGUAAUCCAGUAGUCUUUCCCUGCCAGCAUGUAUUUAGAUUUGAUAGGCUACAUCUCUGCUUUUUCUCAUCCUUUUUUUUUUUUUUUUUUUUUUUUUUUUUGCCAGAAAGCCAGUAUUUUGAUACUUGAAGGCCUCCUUUCCAUCUUAAUGGAGAAGCCUUCUUACACUUAAAGUAUGCAGUGGCUCCUUCAGGUAUAGGAUGAAAAAUUAAGUGGGACUAUCUGUAGAUUACUAAAUCACAAUCAUUAAGGAAAAUAAUGCCCUAAUUAGCCUGUCUUUUGACAAGCCCGGCAUCCAUAUAUAAGUCUAAUAUUGUAUGCAAAUGUGAGACACGGUUGCUUUCUACAUCUCUGAUGUAAAAGAAAGAGCUGGCUUCCUUCCCGUGUUCAGUAUGGACUUGCCUUCAUUCUGCUGCCAACAGCUCCUCAUGGGAGUGUGAAAGUGGAGUUAAACCCUCUUGGUUUUCAGCUUUAGAAUCCUGGAUGAUUAAGUGGCUUGAUCAAAAUCAGAAACUGUGAAAGUGCUAAAAGAGAUCAAGGCCCAAGGAGUUCCUCAUGUGUUGCUAAAGCCUUUCAGAAAUCAAAGUGGGUCUUUAAAUACCUGGGGUGCAAAAACCAGAUGUUUUUUCUUUAAAGAAAAAUAGACAUAUUAGAGCAGAAUUGGGAGCCCUCUGUGGAAGCCUGAGUCUGGGUGUUUACUAUUGUAUAAGGCCUUGAUAAUCAGGGCUUGAGGCUUUGGAUUCACUAGCAGGGAAAGCUGACCUCACUCAGUGACUCCAGUCCUGGCUUGAUCUUUCUGUACUGCCCUACAUGACCUCUGCACUUCUGUGCCAUCAGCCAGCAGACAGAGAAAAGUAUCUGGCAUUUGUCAGUGUCUUCAGUUUGGUUGCUUUAAGUCCUCGGAUGGAAAAGGCUCAGAUUGUCAUCCUGAAAUUAUUGUCUUUUAAUGUGUAAUUGAGGUCAAGUGAAGCACAAUACUUCAGAGGAUUCUGGUUUAAAAUGCAGAUUCUUGGGCUCAACCUCAGAUCUGCAGAGAUCCGUAUUUUUCUUAUUCCCGCAAAAGAUCCUUUAAACAUUCAGAGGUUUUUAAAACUCUGCAAUAACAAAAAUAUAAGGAUUCUUAGAAACUUACGUUAUAUUUAUAUUUUUCCUGAACAUAGAAGGAUGACAGACAUUGUCAUUUUCAUUAAAAAAAAAAAAAAAUGAAGCAGAGACUUAGCCUGUCAAACUCUAAAUACAUUCCAGCAGAGUCUAACUUCUGGAUUGCAGAGAUCCUCCCACUUCCCCACCAAGUCCCCAUCUAUAAAUUGGCCAUGUGAAUUUCUAGUGGUGUUCACUUCCAACAUGGUGAUUUUAUAAACUGUUACGAGGAAGCAUUAUUAACCUGAAGAAGUUCAGAUGCAUGGAGAGUUUGUUUGGGUGUGAGAGGAUUAAUGGCUAGGUUUUAUUUAUCCAUGGAAGACUUCUUACUAGCUAUGAAAAGGGAUUGGCACAAACUGCUUAUUAAUUUCCAUUAACUGUAUCUAAAGGGAAUAAACAGUGUAAGAGCCUGGGCGUGGUGGCUCAUACCUAUUACUCCAAUCCUUUGGGAGGCUGAGGCAGGAGGAUCAUUUGAGCCCAGGAGUUUGAGACCAGUCUGAGCAACACAGGGAGACUGGUUACUUUUUGUAAAAAAAAAAAAAAAAACACCUGUUUUUACAAAAAGACAAAAAAAUAGUAAGCUGGGCUUAGGGGUCACACCUAUAGUCCCAGCUGCUUAGGAGGCUGAGAUUGGAGGAUCGCUUGAGCUCAGGAGUUGGAGGUUGCAGUGAGCCCUGGCGGACACCACUACACUCCAGGCUAAGUGACAGAGGAAGACCUUAUCUCAAAACAAACAAACAAAAAUAAGAAACAGUAUAAGCAUGGGAUGAGCUUCAGUCACAAAAUUCUGCCUUUCAUAACUUAACCUCAUUUGCCGUUUGAUUUGCUCUUUGAGAAAAUGUGGCCUACUUCUCUACUUACAGAACGUUUACCUCCCUCUUCGAGUCUUCCCUUUCUAUCAUUGAUACUGGCAUUCUGCUCAAAGAAUUUAUCCAUUUAGGCUCUCUUCAAAUCCGAAGUGCUAUUAUUUUAAUAAGAGAUGAAAGGGAAAAUUGACAAAAUCUGCAUGGAGUGGUCAGCAUUGUAAACGAUGGAGACUGUGAAAGCUUCAUCUUGGAAGAUUGUCAGAGAGCCUAGUGCCAGCUCAAGAAGUGUAGUCUUUAAUUUAGAGAAUUGACAAAAAUAUUACAAAGAAAGCACAUGCUGAAUACCAACUCCAGGUGCCAGUCCUGAGAGGCAACUCACUCUAUACUGCAGUAGGAGAUGAAUUUUGCAGGUUAUAGAGGAGAGCAAUUGAAACGUCUUUGCUUCUUAAAGUAUCUCCUUAUCAUGACUUGAGAUACAAGUCAUAUGCUAUCUGCUUUUUUGUUCCUUCAAAGUAAACAGACCACAGAGCUGGAGGUGUCCCAGACACAGGGGGAAGUUGUUUGGAUUUUUCCGUCUGCCUGUAGUGAAGCAAGAUAGGAGGAAGUACUUGGGAACUUCCGUGGCAAAUGGACAAGUAAAGAAAAAGAGAAGCCUGAAAGUCAGUUGUGCUUUCAAAUCCUGAAAUGAGUCACAUCUGAAGUAAAUCACUUCCAUGUCAUUUCCAUGAAAGGGGCAGUGCAAGAAGUUCCUUGCACAACCCUGGUGAGCCCUUGUUAAUUUACACUGCUCUUCUCAGAUUCAGCUAUUACCUUCUGGAAAAAAAAAAAGCAGCAGCAGCAGCUAAAAAAAGAAACAAAACAGAAUCCUCUAGAAAAAGCUAUUCAGACCUUUGCUCUUUAUUUUGUCUGAGUGUGACUAGAUAAAUGCAUUAGACUGCUAGGGCCGCUAACAAAAUACCACAGACUGAGUGCUUGUAACAACAGAAACUAAUUUUCUCACGGUUCUGAAGGCUGGAAGUCCAAGAUCGAGGUACCAGCAGGUUGGUUUCUGAGGCCUCUCUUCCUUGAUUUACAAAUGGCCAGCUACACACCAUGUCUUCACAUGGUCUUUCUCAGAGAGAAAAGAGAGGUGUCUUCCUCUUCUUAUGAGGACACCUCUCCUAUUGGAUGAAAGUCACACCCCUAUGACCUCAUUUAACCUUAAUUACCUCUUUAAAGGUCCAAUCUCCAAAAGUCCCUUGAGGAUUAGGGCUUCAAUAUAUGAAUUUUCAGGGGGACACAAUUCAAUCCAUAGCAUUGGCUUAUUCAUACUUUGGAUAGAUUCUCUUCAUCGUUCUUCAGCCACUAUCUAUAUAGUGCACAGCUUCUUUAUCCUAAAAUAAGUCAGGGGAGGCAUGAAAGGUCUUAUUUCUCCAGCUUCUGCACCCUAAGGCAUUAAAACCAGAUUGUGGUCUGGCAGCCUACACUUGGCCUUGAUGAACUUCAAAUCCAAGAUCUCCUUGGUAUGUAAGGUACGUAAACAGCAUACACUUGUGUGGAGGGAUUUGACAGAUUUUUUUUUUUUUUUUGAGGUGGAGUCUCACUCUGUCACCCAGGCUGGAGUGCAGUGGCACGAUCUCGACUCACUGCAACCUCCCCCUCCUGGGUUCAAGCGAAUCUCCUGCCUCAGCAUCCAGAGUAGCUAGAACUUCAGGCACACACCACCACACCUGGCUAAUUUUUGUAUUUUUAGUAGAGACAGUGUUUCACCAUAUCUCCCAGGCUGGUCUUGAACUCCUGACCUUGUGAUCCGCCUGCCUUGGCCUCCCAAAGUGCUGGGAUUACAGGCAUGAACCACCGCGCCUGACCUUAAAUUAGUCUUUGACUAGUAUAUCCACACUGUUAAAGCAGGAGGAUACUGCUGGAUUGUAUAACAGAGUAUAGCGUGACAAAUCCAUGACUAUGCAUCCUUAGCUGUAUUUUCUCAUGCCUUGAGCCAAAAGGUCACAGUUAACCUAAUGUUGCUACUAAAUACUCAUUCCAUAGAACAUUCUAUUCCAGUCUUCCAGAUUUCAUACAAGAAUAAAAGAAAAACUUUUAGGCUACUGGAGAAUUUUUUUUUGUUAACACCCAAUUUGUUGAAUGUGAACCCUGAAUUGAAAUUGACAUGCUAAGGUUCAUAGAUUACUUCAGUUGCCCUGACUGACUUCGGUAAAUUUAGUUGUGACACAUAGGUAUGACAGCUGACUUCGUUCUGGCAUUAGAGGUGGUGAUGUUUUCAUCACCCUGGAGUUAGUAAAAUCCGAAACCUGCCUGGCAUUUGAUGCACAGUUUGCUGCCAGAGACAGCUCAGCUUCUGACUUAUUGGAGAGGAAAUGACCUAACCUCUGUGUUUACAAAGUGUUUGACACUGAGGCCCUUCCACCUCCUUGCUGAGUGUAAGGGUUGACCUGGCACAAAAUCCCCCUGGUCUUCUCAGGAUAAGACAUGCAGCCAUUGGUGGUCAAGAAGGGAUUUGAUCCCCGUGGAAGGGCACUAGAAGAGGAACAGAGCUGUAACACUUCCGGGUGUUCAGAGGGAAAUCAUCUCCGCACUUAACAGGGCUGGAUUAGACUAUUAGAUUAUUGUCAUGGAGCUCGUGAGUCAUCUCCUUAAUCUGUUUAAUCUCAGCCUUGAGUAAAGGACUCGCUAAGAAAACCACAUUCUAUUCCAGUGUAUUUAUUUAUUUUUAUUUUUGAGACAGAGUUUCACUUUUGUUGCCCAGGCUGGAGUGCAAUGGCAUGAUCUUGGCUCACCACAACGUAUGCCUCCUGGGCUCAAGCUAUUCUCCUGCCUCAGCCUCCCAAGUAACUGGGAUUAGAGGCAUGUGCCAUCACACCCAGCUAAUUUUGUAUUUUUAGUAGAGAUGGGGUUUCUCCAUGUUGGUCGGGCUGGUCUCAAACUCCCGAUCUAAGGUGAUCCACCUGCCUCGACCUCCCAAAGUGCUGGGAUUACAGGGGUGAGUCCAGUGUAUUAUUAUAACCAGAAAUUCUUGUCUUAUCAGCAAACAGCUAAUAUUCACUUACAUGAGCAGUGUAUUAGAUUUCCUAGGACUACUGGAACCAGUUUCCACAAACCGCAUGGCCUAAACCAACAGAAAUAUACUCAUUAUCUCGUUAUCCUAGAGGUUAGUCCUAAAGUAAGGUGUUGGCAGGGCCACACGCCCUUUUACAGCUCUCGGGAAGAAUCUGUUUCAUCCUUUCGCUUGCUUCUAGUGCUGCUGUCAGCCCUUGACGUUCCUUUGGUUGGUACGUGCACCCUUCCCAUCUCCACCUCUGUCUUCUCGUUUCUCCCUAUGUCUCUGUUUCUGUGUCUUCUCUGAUAGAAUUAAGGACCCAGUCUCUUCAGUAUGCCCUCAACUUAAUUAUAUCUGCAAAGACCCUGUUUCCAAGUAAUGCCAUAUUCUCAGGUGUAGGCAUUAGGACAUCAACAUAUAUUUUGGGAGGAAAAUUCAACCCAUAACAGGCAGAGUUUUUUUUUUUUCCUUGACUUUUAAGAAUGUGAAAUAUUGUCGAAUUUUUUCAACCACUAUCAAAAUUAAAUCUAAGAACUAUGUGUCUUAAAUUUAUGACCUCUUCGUUUGAAAAAAAAAAAAUUAACGUUUAAUUGGUACCAAAUGCUUUGCGUUUGCUUGAGGCUGAUUAAUGAGUAAAUUUGUAAACUGUGGCUGUUUUAAUUAGCCAGGGUUAAUUAAUGUUUACCAUACUUGGAAGAUGAAAAGGCAUGUAUAAAUGUUCUAUAAUGUGAAUCAUUUUUUAAUUUGUCGUUGAAGCUUACAGUGUAAUCCAAAUAAGGAUUGCUUAUCUCGGACUUACAAAGGGAAGUUCACUAAUGGAUACAUAUAUACAGUUUGAUAGAAGUAGUAAGACCUAGUAUUUAAUGGAUCAGACCUAGUAUUUAAUGGAUAGCUAGGAGAGCCUAGUCUGAAUGUUUCCAGCAUAAAGAAAACACAGGCUGGGCAUGGUGGCUGACACCUAUGGUCCCAGCACUUGGGAUGGCUGAGGUGGGAAAAUCACUUGACCCCAGGAAUUCAAGACUAGCUGGGUCAUCAUACUGAGACCCCGGCUCUACCAAAUAUUUAAAAAUGAGCCAGGUGUGAUGGUGCAUGCCUAUAGUCCCACCUGCUCUGGAGGCCACGUUCAAGUGAGCUGUGAUCACACCACUGCACUCCAGCCCGAGUGACAGUUGAACGCGCUUUAAUAUUCUGUGUUUAGAAAAGAUAGUUACAUUUUAAAAUCUGAUUGUAUAAGAAGGAAAGGUUAUAAAUGUCUGAGGCCAAGUCAAUAAAUAUUUAGUAUAUCAUAAUUUGAGAUGAAAUGUGGUUUGUUUUUUUCUUUUUUAGUUUCAAGUUGAAACAUUUUCAGAGCAGGUAAGGAAAGGCUAACUGUGCUGAGAUGAAAGUAACAUUUUUAAAGUAAGUUUCUUAAAAUAAAUUUCAAGAAUUUUGUAUAAAUUUUCAUUCAAGCCUCAGAAGCCUGGAUGGGGUCUUGUGCUGAGACAGGAAAGUGUGGGGAUUAGAAGUUUGGAGAGAUUGGAGUGAGAGCCCUCCCUUAUGAGACCUGAAGCUGUACAUCCAUGGAAAGCAGUUGCCCCAGGAGGGAAAUAUUCCAUCCUGACAAAUGGGUCAUACUUUCCAGCCCCAAGAUUUCUGGUUCUGUAGGUGAAUAAAGGAGAACUGGCCUUGAUGACACCCCCUUCAUUUCACUUCACCGUUGUCUGCAUGGAGGACAUAUCAAACUCAAAUUAGUGAAAAAGUUGAGUCGACUUCACUUUUCAUCUCCCACACUAUUUUCUUCUUUGUUCUCUGCAAGAAAAAAUGAAGUUGCUUUUUAUUAUGAUCUCAUAGAUUUUUAUACUAAAGUGAUUUGACUUAAGACCCAUUGCAAUUUAUUUGGAUAAAAAAUGCUUUGCUCUCUAGUUCUUAACAGUAACAUCAGCCUGUUCUUAUUGUGUUAAGCACUGCAGUUAAACAAUACAAAGAAUUUUCCACAGGGACGCAUUCCUUUAUCAUGGGUGGAGCUGUUCAUUGUCUAGCAGAAUUUGAUACCAGAUAAGUCCCUUUUGGGGGAUCUAAUGUGGAAUUUUUUUUCAAGACACCUGCAAAGUCCUGCUAGUGUUGCAAACACUUCCAUUUUUAUUCUUAGGCUUCCCUGUGGGCUGCUUCAGCGUAGAAGUGAGCUCUCUGGGUCCGCGUUUCCAGUGGUUCCACCCAGUAUCCUGAAAGAUUGCAACUCAACGCUCCCAAUGUGAAGUGCUUUCCGUUGUCAGGCUUGGUUUCCCCGUACAUUGUUAAAGGAGGACGUGAAAAGGCUAAAGCAGAAGAGAAAGAGCCAUUCCUAUAUCUAGACUUGUUCACCACAAAGCACGUUUUGUGUUAAAGAAAGCAUGAGUAGGCCACUGUGCAGAAGUGCAUAAAGGGUUUGUGUGCUUUUUAAAAUCUGCAUAAAUAAACAUUUCAAAUGAGCUUUACAAGGCUGAUGUGCUGUCUGUAGGAAAAGGAGCUGAUCCUGUGUUGUGAUUUUAUAUAUAUAUAUAAUUUGUGCUAAUCUUACACACUUGCCAGUUCCCCUUAUAAUUAUCUGCAUAAGCCUUUUUAAGCUCUUUGAAUGAAAUUAACUACAUACGGAUGUUGAAAAUCAUCCUUUCUACCGUGAGCUCCUCAGACUUGCUAACCAGUUCUUUGCAUCCUUUGAAGUAUAAAAUUCCAUCAAUUCAGCACGUAUCAACAUAAAUCAAUUAGAAUGUACUUUCUUCACGGUAUGGCAGAGUUUUUGCUGGCCGCCACGAGGGGCACUGUUUCCCAUUUCGUUUGUUUGCUGUGGUCCACCCCAGGAUCUCUCUUACCCAGGUCAGAUAGACUUCUCUCAUGAGCUUGAGAGAGGGGGCUGGUCAGAUAGGACACAGCUUUAGGGACACCACUCACUGAACUACAAAAUGAGUGCUACUCUUAGAAUUGUACCCACAGCAUCAUAGCAGUGCUGUGGGCAUGUCUUUCUAAGGCCCAUUCUCCUCCCUCCCUUGUCUUGUUGGAAGGUUCAGAUUGGAGCUGAAAUUCAGUCCAGCGUGCAGUUGGACAAGCCAUAUAUCCUGUAUGUGACUCGCUCUCCAGAGAAAGCAUCAUGUGGGCUAGUAAGGGCUUGGCUUCUAUCAGAAGCAAAGGUGAGGUUUACAUCUCUUCGUGCUCUCUCUUAAUUGGUUCAGAGUUCCAGUAGAGAAAAUGGGACACUGUGGAUUGAUUGCCGGAAAACCCCAAAACCUGCACUGAAGGUUCCAGGAGAUUAUGCCCCUAGAUUGUAUAAAGGCACCAGAACGCCUUCUGCCUUUAUAAAAAUGCAUGCAAGAGCCUGAAAACUAAUAUUUGAGGAAUUUUUUUGCUCACUGUACUUUCUUGUCCUCACGGAGAACAUUUGCAGUUUUAAAAAAUAAAUGUGAUACUGUUCCAGAAGUAGAAAACUUCAUGUUUCAUUUUUUCCAAUUUAUUCUAUAUCUAAGAACUACUUAGAGGGAGAAGGAGAAACAAACAAACAAGCUGUACCCAGAAAAAGGAAUGGAACUGCGUAAUUCUUUCUCAUGAUUCCUUGGUGUCCUCAAGCCGAAUUAUCCUCCUUCCAAGGACUGCCCAGGUACCUCAGUACCUGAAAAAAUUUAUUCUCCUUAAGCAUAAUCAUAAAAAUUAUAUAGUAAAGUAAUGAUGAGGAAGACCUGAGAUAAUGCUGUAAAGAAUAAAACCGUUUUAAAAAACACUACUCUUAUUUCUGCUGGUAGAAUUGCAAAUGAACUAGUACUAUUCCUUUUUUCUGUAUUUUUGGCACAGAGUUUAUGUUACUCUUAUAUUUAGUAAAAACUGAUCGUUUUUAAAUAAAAGAAGCCUGACAGUGAAGUCAUAACGUAUGCUGCAGAGGUUAGGCUCUUAAAGUCAGAUUUGUAGAGAGAAUUUCACGUAACAGUCACCUUGAAAUUUCUUCAGGUCAGCCAUCAAAGUGCACGUCUCAACCAGCCCAAGGCAGCCAGUUUUUCCUGUAGUAUGUGAAGAGAGCUGUUUCUUGGGUUAAAAACCAUGUGAAAUAAUUGACUUACGUUUAAAAGACAUGAGGCAGCAAAAUCACAUUCAUUUUUAUUUUUGUUUGUAGAAGACAUGUAGCUUAUAUCACAUUAAUGGGCAUGUGAUGUAAUUUCACUAUAAAUUGAACCAGAGGAAAACAUCCAAAUAUGUAUAAAUUAAAGCUGACAAUGCCUACAAUACUAAACUCUUUGUUUUGAUAUAGUUGGAGACUUACAGAAAAGUUCUAAAAAUAUAUUUAAAAAUUUUUAAAGGAAGUUACAGACAUAAUGGCCCUUUACACCUAAAUACUUCACUGUGUGUUUCCUCAACACAAGGAGGGUGUGUGUGUGUGUGUGUGCGUGUGUGUGUGUGUGUGUGUUAUAAUCUUGAUAGAACAUCUUUUAGAGAUUAUUUCUUUGGUACAUAAACUUGUUUUUUAGCCUGUUUUUUUUUUUUUUGAGACAGAGUUUCACUCUCGUUACCCAGGCUGGAGUGCAAUGGCGCAAUCUCGGCUCACUGCAACCUCCGCCCGCCUCCUGGGUUCAGGCAAUUCUCCUGCCUCAGCCUCCUGAGUAGCUGGGAUUACAGGCACGCGCCACCAUGCCCAGCUAAUUUUUUUGUAUUUUUAGUAGAGACGGGGUUUCACCAUGUUGACCAGGAUGGUCUCGAUCUCUUGACCUUGUGAUCCACCCGCCUCGGCCUCCCAAAGUGCUGAGAUUACAGGCUUGAGUCACUGCGCCCAGCCUUUAGCCUGUACUUUGAAGUUCCUGACAACCCAGGCAGGACCAAGACUCCCUAUGUAGUUGGAAAUCAGAUCAGCACAUUGGCACAAGUUCUACAAGUAAAUGGGAAAAGAGAGCCCCACAAUCUGCUUUUAGAUGCCAGGGAGCCUGGCUGGUCUCUAUCUUGAUUGCCGUCUGAUGCCACUGGUAGAUUUAAGUUGUUUGAUCUGUGAUGUUUGCAAGCCAGAAGGAAAUGUGUCUGACAUGAAAAGGGCCUUCAUCUCUACCCUCAGUCCGAGCCAGACAAGUGACAUUUCAGGAAAAUGUCCCUAGCAAUAAGGAACAUUUUCACGAGUGAUGUGAAGCUUUGUUUGUGUCCCUUCCAGGGACAGUUUGUUACCAUAAGGGGACAAAGCAUGCUUCAUUUAAAAAUCUGUGGCCAGGAAACUGUUACUUUAAACAAAAAUAAACCCAGAUUUUGACAUGUAGUCUGGGAGAUUUUCAAGAUUGAUAGUGUAGUUAAAAAUAAGCCGUGGCUCACACCUGUAAUCCCAGCAUGUUGGGAGGCCAAGGUGGGAGAAUUACCUGAGGUCAGGAGUUCAAGACCAGCCUGGCCAACAUAUCCCUACAAAAGUACAAAAAUUAGCCAGGCCUGAUGGCAGGUGCCUGUAAUCCCAAUUACUCAGGAGGCUGAGGCAGGAGAAUCACUUGAACCUGGGAGGCGGAGGUUGCAGUGAGUGGAGAUUGUACCAUUGCACUCCAGCCUUGGUGACAGAACAGACUCCAUCUCAAAAAAAUAAAAAUUAAAAAAGCCUAAUUUUCUGGAGGUCAAGAUAAAAACUGAAUUUGUGAUGCAGCGUUUACUUUGUGAUAGUAUGUGUGUAAAAGUUCCCCAAGUUGGAAAAUGUGGCCGCAUCAUACAGGUCUGUGUCUCACUCUUGACCAUUGCACUGCCCAGGUGACUACACCACACUGUGAAUGCUGAUGGAUAUUUGGAUUGAUUGCAUUAGCAGAAUAAAUGUACUGUUCAGACCUUUAAAUAACUCAAAAUCAAAAGGAGUCCCAAUUAUUUCAAAUUUAACUCAGGGUCAGUAAAACCUUCUGGCCAUUCAGGUAACCAUCAUAUUCAUUCUGAGGAAGGGAAACCUAGAGGAUUGGGAGAGUGUUCUGGGGGGAUGGUGCCGUUGGGAAUGGGCUGUCCAAGUAGAGUGACAGGCAAGGCCGCACUUGGCUAGAAGAGGGAGCUUUUCAGCCCUGCUCCACCGUGAAGAAUCUCUAUGGCCUUGGCCUUGGCUUCAUCUCUUUUAACUUGGCCUCUUUACAUGAAAGAAAAAAAAAGAUACCGUUGAAUUUAUUCCUUUCCAAAUCUAUCAAAAAUAUGAAAUGUAUGAAAAAGAGGGUGCUUGUGAUAAUAGAUGGGUUUAUGCUUCUUUAAUAUUAGUUUCUAAUCCAAGUUAUAUAGCCAUGUCCUCUAUAAAAUGGAACUUUUCAUGGAACAGUGAGAAAGUUGCAUCAGGAAUUGGGAUACUUGGGUUCAGAUUUCAGUUCUGCCACCUGCUAGUUUUAAGUGUACUUCUCAGGAUGGAUGUCAGUUUGUUCAACUAUGAAUAGGAGUAGUAAUCCCACUAAGGGAGGUGAUUGUGGUUAUCGAAUGAGCAGAUAGGUAGGAAAAACCAUGAGUGCAGUUCUCGCAGUUAUUAAGGUGGCGUAGCUGGCAUAGUCCCAUCACAGUAUGGCUCUGGCAUCGCAGAUGGCUGUAGUACCUAUGCUAAUCAGUACAUCCCUACCACACUUAACGAUCACAUAAGUUCUUCCCCAAAUCAGCUGUUCCACUGACCUACAAGUAAGUCCAUGCUUUUUUAGUAUAUUUACUCCCUAGUGAAGACCAGUCUGCUAAAAGUGUCUUCAGUAUGGGAGAGCUGCUCUUUCCUGGGAAACCCAGCAGUGAAGUGUGUCCUGUGAUGUCCUCUACACUUACUGGCCUGUUUCCUGAAAAUUUCCCGUAGCAAAUGGUCCAGUGAAGGAGGAAGUCCGUGUGCAGUCUUUUCUUUCCUGUGACUUUCUGGUUCAGGAACGUGACCCUGAUGAUAAGUAACUUCAAGGCAUGACUCUGGGCUCGAAGAACUUGACUUUUAAGGUGUUGUAGAGUGAAGUUUCCCCUGGCAAUAUUGUUUCUUGACCCACACUCAUCUCAUGCCUUGUUGUGUUUUCUUUUUGAGAUGGAGCUUCGCUCUGUUGCCCAGGAUGGUGUGCAGUUGCGCGAUCUCAGCUCACUACAACCUCCACCUCCCAGAUUCAAGCAAUUCCUCUGCCUCAGCCUCCCGAGUAACUGGGAUUACAGGCAUGCGCCACCAUGCCUGGCUAAUUUUUGUAUUUUUUUUAGUUGAGACAGGGUUUCACUAUGUUGUCCAUGCUGGUCCUGAACUCCUGGCCUCAAGUAAUCCACCACACCCAGCCAUUAUGCUUUUUUUUCUUUGAUGAAGGGGUAACCAAGGCUGUUUUGUGGUGGUGUCUUUGUACAGCUUGAGGCUGUGGUCACUGUGCUGGUGGGUAGGCAGUAGGUCUUCUCAGAUGGAAACAUGCAUGAGAGUCACCUGGGGAUCACGUUAACAUGCAGAAUCUGAUUCCCUGGAUCUGGGUGGGACCUGAGAUUCUGCACAUCUAACAAGCUCCCAGAGAACACCCAUGUAGCAAGUGUAUAGACGAAAGGGCUCAACGUGAAGGAACUGCAAAAACCGUGGAACCAGCCUCCCAUGAUUUUGCAGAUGAGGAGUAUGAGCCCUGAGGAGUUUCAGAGGCCAUGGAGAGAUUAAGUAUAAUAAACAUAACAGUUGUAUAUUGAGCCAAGAAUCAGACAAGUACAGAACUGCUGAUUGGAAAAUUAAAUCUGAUCUCAUAGUACUGGUGUGGGCAAAAUGCCUAGAAUGGGUGACUGCUGAUUUAUAGUGCAGCUUCUUUACAGGGAAAAAUUAGUCCAUCCCAUUUACAGAUACUUCCAGUGCAGCUGUGUCCGGGGAGAGAGAAGAAGGGUCAUGGAGGAGCGUGUAGGGGUGUGAACUUCAGUCCUUUCAGGCAGGUACAAAAGUAAAUUUUUAUUUAAAAGAUGAGAAUUGUUCAUAUGCGAACCUUCUGUUAGAUGAGAGUAAAAAAUUUCCAUUUGUGGAGAGGCUGCAGAUAAAUAUUUUUCCAUGGGAACCAAAAUAAUCA
This is a non-coding RNA of Callithrix jacchus (white-tufted-ear marmoset), 14826 nucleotides long. NCBI's taxonomy places the organism in Eukaryota, Metazoa, Chordata, Mammalia, Primates, Cebidae. The record is from RefSeq and is a predicted model, not a curated record.